This 448-nucleotide ribosomal RNA is filed under the name uncultured Pelagibacterales bacterium. RNAcentral's name for it is "bacterial SSU rRNA". It matches the Rfam family "Bacterial small subunit ribosomal RNA", at positions 1071 to 1533 of the family's 1533-position model. Lineage: Bacteria; Pseudomonadati; Pseudomonadota; Alphaproteobacteria; Candidatus Pelagibacterales. The record is from RNAcentral.
GAGAUGUGGGUUAGUCCGCACGAGCGCACCUCACUUUUAGUUGCCAUCAUUAAGUUGGGCACUCUGAAAGAACUGCCAGUGAUAAGCUGGAGGAAGGUGGGGAUGACGUCAAGUCCUCAUGGCCCUUACGUGUUGGGCUACACACGUGCUACAAUGGCAUCUACAACAGGAAGCAAAACGGCAACGUUAAGCAAAUCCCGAAAAGAUGCCUCAGUUCGGAUUGCACUCUGCAACUCGAGUGCAUGAAGCUGGAAUUACUAGUAAUCGUGGAUCAGCGUGCCACGGUGAAUGCGUUCCCGGGUCUUGUACACACCGCCCGUCACACCAUGGGAGUUGGUUCUACCUUAAGGCAAGGUUUUAAACCCUUGACCACGGUAUAGUCAGCGACUGGGGUGAAGUCGUAACAAGGUAGCCGUAGGGGAACCUGCGGCUGGAUUACCUCCUUUCU